CUACUAAUGUUUGUGACUCUCCUUUUUUAUAUUCUAAAGGACAAUCCAGUAAAACAAUCUAAAAGAAAGAGGAAACUUUGUUGUAUCAUUAUCCACACAAAUCUAAACGACGAUGAGUAAUGUCUUUAUUUAAAACGAUUCCAUCAUACACCGCUAACGAAUGUCAUGAUAGUAAAGAGUUUUAAACAUUUUUUUUAAUCAAAUAAGUUUUAAAGCUAACCGGUAUCGUCUAUAGUACCCCCAGGAAUCUUUUCAACUUUAAUACAAUUCUGAUCGAGUAAAACAUUAAUUCAAGAACGACAACGCGUAAAGCUAUAGGAGGAAUGAUACGGUUCCACGUAUCGGAAAAUUUUGUAUUUAAGCCUUUAAAUUUG
Molecule: long non-coding RNA, 374 nt
Organism: Hylaeus volcanicus
Lineage: Eukaryota; Metazoa; Arthropoda; Insecta; Hymenoptera; Colletidae
Exons: 3
Source: RefSeq, a predicted model, not a curated record